GUGCUUGCUCCUGUAGCACAUACACCAAAAUUGGAACAAUGCAGAGAAGAUUAGCAUGGCCCCUCUGCAAGGAUGACAUCUAAAUUCAUGAAGCGUUCCACGUUACA
Nycticebus coucang (slow loris) is the source of this 107-nucleotide small nuclear RNA. The record is from RefSeq and is a predicted model, not a curated record. Lineage: Eukaryota; Metazoa; Chordata; Mammalia; Primates; Lorisidae.